GCCAGCUGCAAAUUCACACUACAUUAUUUCCAGUAUCGAUUCCAACUAUUUAUCAUUUGUUAUUUGAUUAUUUUACAUUAUUUAUGGGUGCUCCAUGAACGUUUGAGGGUCUUUGAUUGUGUGUCGUAUUUUGUUAUAACAUUUAAUCAAGUAUGCUGCUGCUGCUUGCCAACAUAUCUUGAUAAUUGUCCCGUUUAUAGCCACCUCAUAGUGAAAUGCAAUUUAAUUUAUGCGAUUAUUACCUCAAAGCGGAUUAAGCAGCCCAGCAGUGGAAAGCAGUGGACAAACAGGGCUAAAUGGUGGCAUCUCUCAUGAUUAAUAUAUUUUCCGGCAGGUGAAAAUCAACCCAGAACGAAUCAAUUCCGUUUAAUUAAUUAACUGAAAUUAUCAAUGAAAAUUUAUGAAAUAUAUAUGCAUCUGGUGUCUGUCUGACCAUAUAAUACCACUUUACGCUCAUUAGGACCAAAGAGUGUUUCUUCACGGCGACACAGGGCCAGGUCUCAUUAGGUUGUGGCAGAUUUGAGGCGUGCUCUCUGACCUAAGCACGUCUGUAGCUUUCUAUCAUUGAUCUGUCGUCUAAGAACUGUCACAUAACUGACAAAGCAAUGUACACUAUUUUGAAUAACUUUUGAGGAUAUUGUAGGCACCGAACAUACUCUAAAAGAGUCGUUUGACGCAUACCUUCUACUUUCUAUAGCUUUUUGGGUUAGUUUUCACAUCCUCUAGGUCCUUCCUCUAGGUCUAUUUCAUGUGCAAUUGUCCAAAGUCGUAAAAAAACAAUCAAAUGUAAUGGGAUUUCUUCAGGGUUCUAGUGCUCACAUUCCAGGCUUUCCAAAAAAAGUAUCAUUUGUUCCAUUUGGAACAAUGAAAAUGUCCCAAAAUGAGCUUUGAAAGUGGUGACGUGUGGCAUACAGCUAUCUACGCGUUGAAGGCCAGACAGCUACAGGUAAUGAAAACUGCAGUUGGCUCGCACGUAUACGUAUUUACGUAUACGCCAUGUGGUGCAGCCGUAAAAUGAAUAGUCGAAAAGCCAAACAAAAGAUAGAACCGUAAAGCCUCAAGAGAGACAUGAAGAAAAGCUCUCGACAAUAAGAUACCCGGUAGUCAUUGCCGAAGGCCGUAUUAAAACCCACUCUUAAAUGAUCAGCCACUCUGGGAGAGGUACAUCGAGAGUUUCUUACGAAAAUCCACCCUUAAGUAUGAGAGAGUGACAGAGAAAGCCCAUCCGUAGAUGCUCAGUCACUCUGGGAGAGGUAGAGUGAAAGUGAGUUACGAAAACCCACCCUUAAGUGUGAGAGAGUGACAGAGAAAGCCCAUCCGUAGAUGCUCAGCCACUCUGGGAGAGGUGGAGUGAGAGGGGAGCUCUGGAAAUUUGUUCUGCCUUAUUCUUAACCCUGUAAUUAUCUAUCUACAAUGAUUUCUGUUGUAUAAAUAGAUAGUAGCACUACUAAUAGAUCACCCAAGAAUAUAUAUGGAGGUCGAUAGCCUUUCAUUCUGUCUGCCUCUUGCCUAGACUUGCACGAGUUCAAUAUACCCCGUGCACACUCUGUGGAGGAGGUACCGGGUAUACAAAACUAAUCAAAUGUGGAAUAAUAACGAGGCAGAUGAUGAUGAUGAUGACUGGCACGACGCACGGGUUCAAGAACGUUCAUUCGGCAUGAACUUGCAAAGGCCGUAAAGUCCGUGCAAUAGAAGUGAAUGCACUCGACCAGAAGCAGCAGCGGCAGCGGCAGCAGCAGCGAAACGGCAGCAAUUUCGAGCUGAUUCCUGGCGCUGCAACCGCAAUUUAAACUAAUAACUUGCAACAACAACAACAACAACAGCCACCAUCAGUAGCGACAGCAGCAACAAGCAACCAGCAAUCCGCAACAAUGGCAAUGACAAUAAUUUAUUUUUGAAUUAAUUUUUAUUCGUUUUGCUAAACAAGCACACAUGUGUACAUGUGUACAUCUGUACAUGUGCCUACUUGUGCCAUCAGCUGCAACAAUAGAGAUACUCGUAUUUGCAUGCACAUUCGCGCAUAUGCACUUUUCAACCACAGACUCUCGGCUCCGUGCCACACAGUGGUUCCGAGUGCUGCGACCAAGAGAAAGGCAGAACUCGGCUUGGCAAGCAUUUGGACUAAUUAAUUUUUUGAGUAUUUAUUUGGAAAGUCAUUAAACCAAUUAAAUCCCAUAGCUUUAGGGGAGGUUUUUCGAACGAGUUCUGUGCUAGUUUUGAGCUCAGUUUAGCGCCAUAUCUGCAGUGCCCUAGAAACGCCAUUUCCCAUUCCGCUAAACUGAGCUCAAAACUAGCACAGAAUUUAAUGGGAAACCUAUAAAAUCUGUAUAUAUAUGUAAGUUCGUGAAAUCGAU
Molecule: long non-coding RNA, 2354 nt
Organism: Drosophila pseudoobscura
Lineage: Eukaryota; Metazoa; Arthropoda; Insecta; Diptera; Drosophilidae
Exons: 3
Source: RefSeq, a predicted model, not a curated record